RNAcentral lists this ribosomal RNA (229 nucleotides) under uncultured bacterium. Its description in RNAcentral is "partial 16S ribosomal RNA". It matches the Rfam family "Bacterial small subunit ribosomal RNA", at positions 568 to 796 of the family's 1533-position model. The record is from RNAcentral.
UGCGUAGGCGGGCUAAUAAGUCAGUGGUGAAAUCUUCCGGCUCAACCGGGAAACUGCCAUUGAUACUGUUAGCCUUGAGUUAGGUUGAGGUAGGCGGAAUGUGUAAUGUAGCGGUGAAAUGCUUAGAUAUUACACAGAACACCAAUUGCGUAGGCAGCUUACUAGACCGACACUGUCGCUGAGGCACGAAAGCGUGGGGAGCGAACAGGAUUAGAUACCCUGGUAGUCC